Molecule: long non-coding RNA, 921 nt
Organism: Clupea harengus (Atlantic herring)
Lineage: Eukaryota; Metazoa; Chordata; Actinopteri; Clupeiformes; Clupeidae
Source: Ensembl
GUGUGCCAAUAGCAGCCUAGUUUAUGUUUAGUGUUGUUUUGUUUGAUCUGGAGCAUCAGAACUUUUGGUUAUCUUUUUUCUUUAGUCUGAAAGAUACACACCGGAAACAAAAAAGACAGGACAGAUAUUGAUGAACGUCUGACAAGGAUCAGUCAGGUCUUCUUCAGCAGAGACAUGGGUGAAGAUGGAGCCCAUUGAGCUCAUCAUAAUCAGCCACUGCUGAACAACAGGGAGCACCUAAGGGAGGUCCACUGAAGACCCAGUCCAGGUAAUGGAAGAAAAGGAGGAGAUGGUGAGAACACUAGACUUCACUGAGGGAGAGGGGAUAAUCAGAACUGAUAUCCAGACCACCAGGAUAUUUGAGGACACGAGGAAACUGCAGGCCCAGAGAGAGCAUGAGCAGGCUGUGGUGUUUGCAAAGCUGAGAGGGAAAGAUAGACAGAUCGCAGCUCUCACGGAAGAACGAGAGAAGCUCUUGUUUCUUUUUUGGGUGGAGAGGGAACAGCACAGCAGUGAGAGGAGAGCGGUGGAAAGGGAAAGAGCGAGAGCAAAGACAGAGUGGAAGAGGAGGCUGGACGACCGAGAGAGACAUAUCCAGUCUACAGUCUUGGCUGUGGCAGUGAUGAAACUGACACUGGAGAAGAAACUGAACCAGAUUGAGGAAGAGAAAUGGUCGCCUGGUUCUGCAGAUCAGCGUACAAACAGCAGAGAAGAUCACAAGGUUCUUCACAGAAAUGACACAUGGCAGGUAAAGCAAAGACAUCGGAUGCGGAGGCAGGUGGCGAGAGGUUGCAAGGGAGGAUGGCAUUACACAUGCGACGUGAUGGCGGAGUCUACUUGGACCAUAAAACAAGAUUUGAUAAAAGCUCAUGAGCAGGAAGCACUAAGGGUACAGUUGCUAGAGAAACAGAGACAGAGGGA